Molecule: ribosomal RNA, 715 nt
Filed under: Bacillus sp. (in: firmicutes)
Lineage: Bacteria; Bacillati; Bacillota; Bacilli; Caryophanales; Bacillaceae
Description: bacterial SSU rRNA
Rfam family: Bacterial small subunit ribosomal RNA
Source: RNAcentral
CUAUACAUGCAAGUCGAGCGGACAGAAGGGAGCUUGCUCCCGGAUGUUAGCGGCGGACGGGUGAGUAACACGUGGGUAACCUGCCUGUAAGACUGGGAUAACUCCGGGAAACCGGAGCUAAUACCGGAUAGUUCCUUGAACCGCAUGGUUCAAGGAUGAAAGACGGUUUCGGCUGUCACUUACAGAUGGACCCGCGGCGCAUUAGCUAGUUGGUGGGGUAAUGGCUCACCAAGGCGACGAUGCGUAGCCGACCUGAGAGGGUGAUCGGCCACACUGGGACUGAGACACGGCCCAGACUCCUACGGGAGGCAGCAGUAGGGAAUCUUCCGCAAUGGACGAAAGUCUGACGGAGCAACGCCGCGUGAGUGAUGAAGGUUUUCGGAUCGUAAAGCUCUGUUGUUAGGGAAGAACAAGUGCGAGAGUAACUGCUCGCACCUUGACGGUACCUAACCAGAAAGCCACGGCUAACUACGUGCCAGCAGCCGCGGUAAUACGUAGGUGGCAAGCGUUGUCCGGAAUUAUUGGGCGUAAAGGGCUCGCAGGCGGUUUCUUAAGUCUGAUGUGAAAGCCCCCGGCUCAACCGGGGAGGGUCAUUGGAAACUGGGAAACUUGAGUGCAGAAGAGGAGAGUGGAAUUCCACGUGUAGCGGUGAAAUGCGUAGAGAUGUGGAGGAACACCAGUGGCGAAGGCGACUCUCUGGUCUGUAACUGACGCU